CAGUAGCCGCGGUAAUACGAAGGGUGCAAGCGUUAAUCGGAAUUACUGGGCGUAAAGCGUGCGUAGGCGGUGAGCUAAGUCUGCUGUGAAAUCCCCGGGCUCAACCUGGGAAUGGCAGUGGAUACUGGCUCGCUAGAGUGUGUCAGAGGAUGGUGGAAUUCCCGGUGUAGCGGUGAAAUGCGUAGAGAUCGGGAGGAACAUCAGUGGCGAAGGCGGCCAUCUGGGACAACACUGACGCUGAGGCACGAAAGCGUGGGGAGCAAACAGGAUUAGAUACCCCAGUAGUCCCUGUCUCUUAUAC
This 301-nucleotide ribosomal RNA is filed under the name uncultured bacterium. Its description in RNAcentral is "partial 16S ribosomal RNA". It matches the Rfam family "Bacterial small subunit ribosomal RNA", at positions 509 to 807 of the family's 1533-position model. The record is from RNAcentral.